UUUAUUUGAUUCUUUCUGCAGCUUUUGGUUAAAUUCCCUGAACAUCGUUUGGGAUUUAACGGAGCUGAAGAAGUGAAGAGCCAGCCUUUAUUCUGUAAAAUAAAUUGGGAACACCUCUUGAAUAAACAAGUGAGGCCGCCAUUCCUCCCCAAUGUGCGAAGCUAUGAUUCAAACCUUGUUCUACCUACUUACGGCCAAACGGAGCCUAUAGCAGACUCCGUCAAUGAAGCUCUCCAGAACUUUGAUUAUUAUGCUGGCUGAAUGGGAGAAGAGACAAGCGGAACCAACCUGGCACAUUUGAAGGUUGAGGCAAAUGCCACUCCUCACCCAGGAAUGACGCAGCCGGCUAAAGGAAGCUUUCCAGCACCAGGACUUUCUAGGAGGUCACAAUGUGAUCUUCAUGCAGGAAGGAGAUGAGUGGAAGGCCAAGUCCAGUUGGUCUAACUCUUGGUGCCUCCGUUUAAUCUUCUACAUCAGCUGGGUGCAACCCUUUCCUCCCAGAACGGAAGGAUAUUCCCUGCAGGCCGGACAAACCUAAGCAAAGCAGGGACAGCACCGGCCGCUACCGUAACUCACUGGCAAUACCGCGUCUCCACCAGCGAUACAUCACCAAUGGAGUCCUCUCUCCAACACUGCUGGACCCUUUGAGUUUAAAUGGACGCAGAACAACCAGGCUAAUGGAGACUUCAGAGUACCACCACUACCAGGGCGGUGCCGUCUCCUUCAAGAACGAUCUUCCACUUGGAACUGCUGUUGCCCAGGCAAUUCUUCCCACGCCUGGAACUGCCUACUUAUCCUGAGUGUCAGAGAUGCACCCACCAUCAUAAUUUGGAAAGAGAUAAGUACAGCUAUGUGGCACUCCUUAUUUCACUGUCGCUUGAAACGUAGUGUUUAUUUUACACCUUUACUGUAGAUGUAGUUACAAUUAAAUGGCUUCUUCUCCCACUGGCACUGCCGGGCCCCCGUCUUCUUCUUCUAAUACCCCCUGCCCCUCAGAGGUUCAUGCUUGCAUGGCACUGUCUCUCCUCCCAUUGGCACUGCUGGGCCCCCCGUCUUCUUCUUCUAAUACUCCCUGUCUUCUUCUUCUAAUACCCCCUGUAUGGCACUGCCUCUCCUCCCACUGGCCCUGCCAGGCCCCCCAUCUUCUUUUUCUAAUACCUCCUGCUCCUCAGAGGUUCAUGCCAGUAUGGCACUCCUUCUCCUGCCACUAGCACUGCCGGGCCCCCCGUCCUCUUCUUCUAAUACCCCCUGCCCCUCAGAGGUUCAUACCUGUGUGGCACUGCCUCUCCUCCCACUGGCACUGCCGGGCCCCCCGUCUUCUUCUUCUAAUACCCCCUGCCCCUCAGAGGUUCAUGCCCUUAUGGCACUGACUCUUCUCCCACUGGCACUGCCAGGCCCCCCAUCUUCUUCUUCUAAUACCCCCUGCCCCUCAGUAGGUUCAUGCCUGUAUGGCACUGCCUCUCCUCCCACUGGCACUGCCAGGCUCCCUGUCCUCUUCUUCUAAUACCCCCUGCCCCUCAGUAGGUUCAUGCCUGUAUGGCACUGCCUCUCCUCCCACUUGCCCUGCCGGGCCCCCCCGUCUUCUUCUUCUAUUUCCCCCUGCCUCUGCUGGAAUGGGCAACUUCUCUCUGGGAGUGUCAGUCGCCCCUGACAUUUGAUGUGAAGGAAU
Molecule: long non-coding RNA, 1669 nt
Organism: Xenopus tropicalis (tropical clawed frog)
Lineage: Eukaryota; Metazoa; Chordata; Amphibia; Anura; Pipidae
Exons: 3
Source: RefSeq, a predicted model, not a curated record